RNA transcript from Amaranthus tricolor (Joseph's coat), 2949 nucleotides. It is a transcript of the gene named chaperone protein dnaJ 49-like, with no coding region annotated. The record is from RefSeq and is a predicted model, not a curated record. The transcript is spliced from 3 exons. NCBI's taxonomy places the organism in Eukaryota, Viridiplantae, Streptophyta, Magnoliopsida, Caryophyllales, Amaranthaceae.
CUCUAUCAAGAUAGUUGUUUAUCUUUGGAGAUGUAAUGUUUGGCUGCUGUAAAUAAAAGACCUUUCCUGCUUCCUUCCUCUCUGGCCUCCGCGACUCUUUCCCCACCCACACACAGACGCCAUUCUUGAUCGCUUCAUUUCAAUGGCGAGGUUUAUCGUCUUGUAAGGUAAUUCUAUUUCCAUUCGUCGAUUUCACAUCCAAUUUCUCCUUCAUUACCAUCUACAUCUCAAUUCCAUUUCCAAAUUAAUACCCUAAUUUCACCUCUUUUCUGUUUUAGGUCAACUUGAUCGGCAAUUCGGCAUGUCAUCUUCUUAGAUCUACUUUUUUUUUUCUCAAUUCAUUCUCUUAAUUUUAUUCUUGUGUAAAGAGGAACCCUGUCAAAGUUCAACUUGUGGGGUUCUUGAUUUUUGUUUUUCUAGGUUUCGAUUGAAUUGGGUAUUUUUGUUAAAUUGUUGUGGAACCUAGUCAUGGAUGGUAACAAGGAUGAAGCAUUGAAGUGUAUUGGAAUUGCUAAAGAAGCGAUUGCAUCUGGUAAUAAACAACGUGCUCUUAAAUUCAUUAAGAUUGCUCAGCGUCUUAAUCAUACCUUAUCUCUCGACGAUUUGAUUUCCUCUUGUGAAGAGAUGGAUUCUUCGGUAUCUGGUUCUGCUCAUAAUGGUACCGAUGCAAAUACGAACGAUAGCGAGGGUUCGUCACCUGCUAAUACUAAAACCACUGCUGAGGCCUCCGAUGGGGAGAGAAAUUAUACCCAAGAACAUGUCAAUUUGAUCAAAGAGAUCAACAAACAUAAGGAUUAUUAUGCAGUACUUGGUGUUGAGAAGACAUGUUCUGUAGAAGAGGUUAGAAAAGCUUAUAGGAAAUUGUCUUUGAAGGUUCACCCUGAUAAGAACAAAGCCCCUGGCGCUGAAGAGGCAUUCAAGAAGGUUUCCAAGGCUUUUAAGUGUUUGAGUGAGGAGGAUUCUAGGAGACAUUAUGAUCAAACUGGUUUUGUGGAUGAAUUUGAGUAUAAUCAACAUCAUAAUGUUCGAAGGCGGAGACGAAGAACUAAUAAUGACUUUUUUGAUGAUGAGUUUGACCCUGAUGAAAUAUUUAGAUCAUUUUUUGGUCAAUCAGACAUGUUUCGAACAUCUUAUGUUUAUAGAACUAGGGGAAUGGGAACUCAGCCGAGAACAGAUGUGAAUGGUGGAGGUCCCAAUCUAAUGGUGUUUUUACAAUUGGUGCCAUUUUUGUUGAUAUUAUUGCUUGCUUAUUUGCCAUUUUCGGAGCCGGAGUACUCUCUGCAAAAAAACUAUUCUUAUCAAUUUCCUCGUGUGACGGAGAAAUAUGGGGUUGAGUUCUUUGUUAAGUCUCCUGGCUUUGAUCGCAGCUAUCCUAUAGGAAGUGCUGCUCGAGAAAAUCUUGAGGAAAAUGUUAUUCAGGACUACAAAAACUUGCUUGGACGCUACUGCCACAUUGAGCUUCAACGCCGUCAAUGGAGUCGUAAUUUGCCAACUCGAUAUUGUGAUAAGCUCCAGAGUUUUGGGGUGGCAUAAGGGUCUUAGGAGAAUGGAAAACCAUGGGUCUACAAAGUAUAAGUUGCAACCCUUAAGUUUGAUAUGUGCGAAAAUCAGUAACCAUAAGCUUUGUGUCCCUCAACUGGUCCACCAUAUAUAGCAACAGAGCAUACGAUUAGUUCUUAGAAGGCCAUUUCAUUAUUAGGAAAAAAGAAACACGGUGGAAGUUGAAGAGAUGUGUGUGUUGAGGUGUAUUUGUGCUUCCUAGUUAUGUUACUUUAUGCUGUGGUAAGCUGAUGUCUUGUGAUUUGUGAACCUCUGAACGGAAAUUUUAUUCAGCUUAAAAUCGUUGCAAAUUUUUUGUCAGCUUGAUGGACUAUUUGGUUUUCCAUAGAACUGUCUACUGUAUGAGAUGUGGUUAUGGUAAAUUGCUGGAUUAGGUCACUUUUUCAAAGCCCCUGAAAUAUGAAAAAGGCAGUUACUGAUGAAUUGCAGGUUACUGGAAAUCUCGAUACCCUGCUGCUUCCGACUAAAAUCUUAAACCAAUGGUUUGUUUAUGUUUUUUUAUUCAAGAGACCAGAAUUUCGGAACAGGGAUUACUGGUGGUUGAUAACCAUAAAUUAUUAAAUCGUCUUCGAAGGGUAUAUCUAUUAUCUUUGAAGAUGAGUUGAACUACAUUUAGCUGUUCCAUGAGAUUGCGUCUAUAUCAUUUAUUAAGUGCAAGAAUAUUUUCAAAGCAGUGGAUGUUUGUAAUGCAUGCCCUUACUCUCACAAAAACCAAAGACCAGAUUAAUUUUUCAAUCUAUAUGAAUGAAUUGGAGCUAUGAGUGAUGAGAAUGCUAAUCAUUUCCCGUCGACUGAUUUUGCUGUGUACGCUUGUAACUUGUAAUAGAUGCUGCUAUUGAGGAAUGUGAUCAGUAGUUUCAUGUGCAAUUUAGCUUGAAUAGUAAUUGCUUGGAGAAUUUCUCUAUUAUGGGGCUAUUUUAUAUGGUGAAAGUUAAACAAGCAAAACAAGAGGAGCUAGGCCUGUGGAUCUGGAAUUUCACGUCUAAAUAUGGCCAAACGUGCAGCAGCAUGGUAACAUAGUAGAGACAGGAUUCCAUGGUUUGAAUACGGGAACCAGAGUUUUGGCUCGUAUGCUACGCAGAAGUGGCGCUGGUGACUGUUUAGCUGAUUCACUUUUACCGUCCUGCAUUCAUAUGUGAUGGUAGCAAGGAAUCUGUUUGGUAUCGGCGUUUGCAACGUCAAUUUAAGAGUUUACUUUGAUAAUUAAUACUGGACCUAUACAUAGGAUUAUCAUGUGUAGCAAUAAAUAAAUUUAACCCAGUGCUGGUACAGAAUGCCUCAAUAUUUGAAGUUAUUUGAGGUUUCAUCAGGGAGUUUGAUAUAUUAUUAUUGGAUGAUAUAUUAAGGUGUUAAUAUGAGAUUUACAACCACCUUUUUUCAUCGUGCUAA